This 307-nucleotide ribosomal RNA is filed under the name uncultured bacterium. RNAcentral's name for it is "bacterial SSU rRNA". It matches the Rfam family "Bacterial small subunit ribosomal RNA", at positions 29 to 334 of the family's 1533-position model. The record is from RNAcentral.
AACGAACGCUGGCGGCAUGCUUAACACAUGCAAGUCGAACGAGAAAGGUUUCUUCGGAAGCUGAUUAGAGUGGCGCACGGGUGAGUAACGCGUAGAUAACCUACCCUUCAGUCUGGGAUAACCCCUCGAAAGGGGGGCUAAUACCGGAUGAGACUUGAGAACGAAUGUUUUCGAGUUAAAAGUGUUAGCGCUGAGGGAUGGGUCUGCGUUCCAUUAGCUAGUUGGUAGGGUAACGGCCUACCAAGGCGACGAUGGAUAGCGGGUCUGAGAGGAUGAUCCGCCACACUGGCACUGAGACACGGGCCAG